RNAcentral lists this ribosomal RNA (864 nucleotides) under Lysinibacillus fusiformis. Its description in RNAcentral is "bacterial SSU rRNA". It matches the Rfam family "Bacterial small subunit ribosomal RNA", at positions 49 to 892 of the family's 1533-position model. Lineage: Bacteria; Bacillati; Bacillota; Bacilli; Caryophanales; Bacillaceae. The record is from RNAcentral.
CCAAAAAUGCAAGUCGAGCGAACAGAGAAGGAGCUUGCUCCUUUGACGUUAGCGGCGGACGGGUGAGUAACACGUGGGCAACCUACCUUAUAGUUUGGGAUAACUCCGGGAAACCGGGGCUAAUACCGAAUAAUCUGUUCCACCUCAUGGUGGAACACUGAAAGACGGUUUCCGCUGUCCCUAUAGGAUGGGCCCGCGGCGCAUUAGCUAGUUGGUGAGGUAACGGCUCACCAAGGCGACGAUGCGUAGCCGACCUGAGAGGGUGAUCGGCCACACUGGGACUGAAACACGGCCCAGACUCCUACGGGAGGCAGCAGUAGGGAAUCUUCCACAAUGGGCGAAAGCCUGAUGGAGCAACGCCGCGUGAGUGAAAAAGGUUUUCGGAUCGUAAAACUCUGUUGUAAGGGAAGAACAAGUACAGUAGUAACUGGCUGUACCUUGACGGUACCUUAUUAAAAAGCCACGGCUAACUACGUGCCAGCAGCCGCGGUAAUACGUAGGUGGCAAGCGUUGUCCGGAAUUAUUGGGCGUAAAGCGCGCGCAGGCGGUCCUUUAAGUCUGAUGUGAAAGCCCACGGCUCAACCGUGGAGGGUCAUUGGAAACUGGGGGACUUGAGUGCAGAAGAGGAAAGUGGAAUUCCAAGUGUAGCGGUGAAAUGCGUAGAGAUUUGGAGGAACACCAGUGGCGAAGGCGACUUUCUGGUCUGUAACUGACGCUGAGGCGCGAAAGCGUGGGGGAGCAAACAGGAUUAGAUACCCUGGUAGUCCACGCCCUAAACAAUGAGUGCUAAGUGUUAGGGGGUUUCCGCCCCUUAGUGCUGCAGCUAACCCAUUAACCACUCCGCCCGGGGAGUACGGUCGCAAG